GACGAACGCUGGCGGCGUGCUUAACACAUGCAAGUCGAACGGUAAACCUCUGCGUUUGUGGUGUGUUCGAGAGGCGUGAGUGAGAGUAACACGACCUUCCCCCGCCCUUGGCUUAAGUCUAACUUCUGGGAGCUAAUGCUAGUACCUCAUCGGUGCCCCCACUGCAUGGUGUGAAAUGGAAUUUCUGGUCGGUUGGGGAUGGCCUCGCGGCAUAUCAGCUUGUUGGUGGGGUAGUGGCAUACCAAGGCUGUGACGGGUAGCCGGCCUGAGAGGGUGACCGGCCACACUGGGACUGAGACACGGCCCAGACUCCUACGGGAGGCAGCAGUGGGGAAUAUUGCACAAUGGGCGGAAGCCUGAUGCAGCGACGCCGCGUGCGGGAUGACGGCCUUCGGGUUGUAAACCGCUUUCGGCAGGGACGAAGCGUGAGUGACGGUAAUUGGAGAAGAAGCACCGGCUAACUACGUG
This 468-nucleotide ribosomal RNA is filed under the name uncultured bacterium. RNAcentral's name for it is "partial 16S ribosomal RNA". It matches the Rfam family "Bacterial small subunit ribosomal RNA", at positions 28 to 507 of the family's 1533-position model. The record is from RNAcentral.